RNAcentral lists this small RNA (805 nucleotides) under Brideliella wahlenbergii. RNAcentral describes it as "eukaryotic LSU rRNA". The stretch from base 296 to 448 matches the Rfam family "5.8S ribosomal RNA". Lineage: Eukaryota; Viridiplantae; Streptophyta; Bryopsida; Dicranales; Rhabdoweisiaceae. The record is from RNAcentral.
UUGCACACACAAAGUUGCAGCAAACCCCCUUUGCGAAUUUCAUGAUUGUCCCCCUUGGCGGGUUGGGGCGUCGUCGCCACCCUGCGGUGGCGGUGUCCCGGCCGGCCAGCCCAAGUCCCCGGGGGCUUGGGGCUCCCUCCCUCCCGGGAAGUGAGUCUCAUCGCCCGGGACGCUUGGUGUUUCCAAACCGAUUGCGCAAUGCAUCAACACUUUCAAUAUGACUGAGUAUAAAAGAUCGGAGGGGCACUGGACUCGCGUCCGGUGCCCCCCUCGAGUUGUAAUAUAAACAAAAAACAACUCUCAGCAACGGAUAUCUUGGCUCUUGCAACGAUGAAGAACGCAGCGAAAUGCGAUACGUAGUGUGAAUUGCAGAAUUCCGCGAAUCAUCGAGUCUUUGAACGCAAGUUGCGCCCGAGGCUUGACCAAGGGCAUUUCUGCCAGAGCGUCACCGCGACACCCACCAAUCCACUCCAAGUGAGUUGGACUGAGUGAAAGUGGCCAUCCGAAUGGGGGCCCACCCGGGACUUCCGUCCUUGGGUGUGGCACGUUGGGUUGGCUGAAAUGGAGGGAAUUUGGCCGCCGUGGUGACACAGCCCGCGAUCAGGUGAUCCAGGCUCUGUCUUGGAACUCAAAUGUGCGUCGGUUGUGCCUCCCUGUUAGCAUUAGGAUUCCAAAGCAGGUCCCUCCGUGCGGGACCGCCUCUCGAGGUGGUUCCGGCGGGAGGAAAAACGUCACGCAUCAGACCUCUGAUCAGAAAAGACUACCCGCUGAGUUUAAGCAUAUCACUAAGCGGAGGAGAAGAAAC